This 44047-nucleotide long non-coding RNA is filed under the name Triticum aestivum (bread wheat). RNAcentral's name for it is "long non-coding RNA (TAES_LNC023098)". Lineage: Eukaryota; Viridiplantae; Streptophyta; Magnoliopsida; Poales; Poaceae. The record is from RNAcentral.
AACUCGACGUACAAGCUGCUGCCAGGCGUGGAGGUGAAUGACGAAAUAACCAAGGCCAAGGAAUCAGUCACUGCCAUCUUUAAGGCCGCUGAGGCCUACCUCAUCGCCAACCCCGAUGCCUACAACUGAAUCAGAUGAGAGGAAUCAUAUAUGAUUAUGAUGUCCCAAGUUUGAUUUUUGUGUGCUUUCUUCCGGAUCUAAUAAAGCUGCUACAAUCUCUAAGCUAUAGUAGUGACGCCGAGCGCGAGAGCACCGGGCAGAGUGUAGACGUGAGAAGUUUAGAAGUUAAUGUUUGUGACACGAAAGGGGCCUGUUGUUUGAUGAUGUUGUGCUUGCUUAUAUGAAAUACCUAAACACUCUUACUUUCUUAUAUAUUUGGAAUUGGAAGAUUAUGUGUCGACCUAUUACAUAUGUGUUAUAGGAAAUUUUACGGUGCAUCAUAAUACACCAAAUCACGUGUAUUAUAUGGGCGAUCAUAAUACAUGAUAAUACACUCUGGCACCCAAGCUCGCGCCCCACAUCGUCGCCAGCGCCCACCCCAUCGAGGGCGAAGGCGGCAUCGGCAGCGUCAGGCAGUUCAACUUCACCUCAGGUACAUAUGCAUCACAUACAAUCCAUGCAUGUCACCUAAUUAAGUCAGGCGGCGGCAUAACACGCGAUUCUUUGCUCUUGCAGCCAUGCCCUUUACCCUCAUGAAGGAGAGGCUCGAGUUUCUGGACGCAGAGAAGUGCGAGUGCAAGUCGACCCUGGCCGAGGGCGGCGGCAUCGGCACGGCGAUCAAGACCGCGACGUCUCACAUCAAGGUGGAGCCGGCGGCCAACGGCGGGAGCGUCGUGAAGGUGGACUCGACCUACAAGCUGCUGCCGGGCGUGGAGGUGAAGGAUGAGAUCACCAAGGCCAAGGACUCUGUCACCGCCAUCUUCAAGGCCGCCGAAGCCUACCUCAUCGCCAACCCCCACGCCUACAACUGAAUCAGUUGAGAGGGAAUGAUUAUGAUGUCCCAAGUUUGAGUUUUGUGUGCUUUUUACCCGAUCUACCCCUGUCUCCGCCACUGGCUACAAUCUCUAAGCUAUAGUAGUGACGCCGAGCGCGAGAGCACCGGGCAGAGUGUGGAAUUUUUUUUAGAAAAGGAGGAAUACCCCGGCCUCUGCAUCCGGACGAUGCAUACGGCCAUUUUAUUAAUUAUUGACACAAGACCUUACAAAGUCGUACAAAAGUAAGACCAAAGCCACCAUCUAAGCAAUAUAUGUCGCUACUCCUAUCUAGUUGAUGAAGGGAUGCUGAUAGUCUCGGCCUAAUACCAAACAGACCUCGCAGCCAAACCUAACAUCUAAGACCUGAGGUCCCAACCAGGACGCCUGCCGGGUAUGGGCACCCACUAGUCCGGCGUGCUCCUCAACCAGGACGCCUGCCGGGUAUGAGGCUGCCACAGCCACCUGCCACCAAUCCAUCUUCAGAGCUGUACUGUUGCAUCAACCUUGCCCGGUCUAGCUGCCGUCGACGCCACCACGACGCCAGACAACAUCGACCUCCUGCGCAUGUCCAUCCGCACACAUCUGACGCCAAGCCUCCGCUGCUCCAUGCCACCAAGAGCCGCCGCCAUGAAUAUGUAGAAAGAAACACCGCUCCACCGAAGAAGCCAUCCGCUGGUCUCUUGAGCCCGAGUGCAUCUCCAAGAAUGCCUCCCCCAAGGAGGUAACGACACAUGAAUGCCGCCGUCAUCCGAUCAACUGAUCUAGGGUUUCCAGGUAUUGGGUGGGUUUGGGAUUUGUACCUCGAUGAUGCCUUCAUGAGGGAAACAAUGAUAAGGGCAUCGUCAUCACCGGCUCCGGCCAACGACAGAAGAGUAAGUUUUCACUUGGAUCCGUCCCAAGAAAUCCACCCGACAACCUGUGCACUGUCUCGGCCGCCUUCUAAGCCCCAGAUCUAACCGCCUAUAUCCGGCGACCAACCGCAAUAGUAGUGGCACUGUAGGAGCCCUGGUACACCGGCCACCGCCUGAAUGCGCCACCACUGGAGCCUGGGAGGAGGACUCCCACCCCACCUCGCCAAUCCGCGAGAGCCGCCGAGAUCGAUCCCGCACGCUCAUCACCGUCCCUGAUCGGAACCAAUCCGUGGCAAAACCACGAGAUUGCCGACGCAGAUCCGCCUUGGAUAUGGACUGCACAACGCUAUGCCGCCGCGGAAAGCCCGAGCUUCACCCGCGGCCGCCGUCUAGGGCCACCGCCCCAGGAUCAUGACAGCCCGGACCUCCACGGCGCCCUCUUCAUGUCACCGCCGCUGGCUCGACACCAGGCAACCGCGCCGCCUCCCAAGGCCUCCGCCCGGAGCACGCCGUCGCGCCGCCAUGGAUCAGAUCGCCGCUGCGCCCUCACGCGCGUGGGGGUCCCACCCCACCCCCUCCGGCGUGAUCCAGGGAGGAGAGCCUCCGCCACCGCCGUCGGCCCCGGGGCUUAGCUCAGCGGCGUCCUCCGGCGGCGGCGGAGGGAAGGGAGGGAGGUGGUGGUGACCCUGGCAGCUAGGGUUUGAAGAGCCACCCGAGUCGCCCGAGACGGGGGCGACGCGGGGGCCUUGGGCAGGAGAGUGUGGACUUGAGAAGUAUAAAAGUUAGUAUUUGUAACUACCAAAGGGGCCUAUUGUUUGAUGAUGGUGGUGCUUGCUUACGUUAAAUACCUAUAAACACUCUUAUUUUCUUAUAUAUUUGGAAUUGGAAGAUUAUGUGUCUUACAUAUGUCUAUAUGCAUGUGAAAUACCUAAACACUCUUAUGCGCAAAAAAGGAAGAAGUUUAUAUGUCGAGAAAGACUUUUUUUAGGAAUCUAAGAAAUCAAUAUAUGAACAACACUAUAAGCGGAGUAGGGCAUUACACCUCGCGAUGACCUGAACCUGGGUAAUUCGCUUAUCGUGUGUGUCUCGAGUGUUUUAACCCUUGCAAACAAUCUAGAAGGUGCAUCAUAGCUCCAAUCUCGAUGAUCACCCGUCAGCAAUUGCAUAUUAGAAAGAGCUUACUUUAUCCGCAUUGACCCAAAAAUUUGGAAGUUAAGCUGAAUUUUUAUAGUCUCCUAUUCACCCACCACCCUCUCUAGUCGCCCUCUCAAUCUGUUUGACACACUGGAAACACAACUGUUUUUCUUUUUUUUUUAUCCCAUGGUCUCAACCAAGCAUAAGCACAGGUGCACAAUGAAAGAGGAGGGGAAGUCACAUGAAGUUUUUUUUUUUGAAUGGUACGGUUAGUCCAGAAUCAGGACUGUUAAGAGAAACACACGUGUACACAUGAGCUCAACAGAUCCAUAAAAUACGCAAGGCAAGCAUUGUGAGUACUAGCUUUUCUGCUUACGAAAAUAAUUUACUACCCAUGAUGGUAGCUACAUGUGGCCCCAAUUUUUAUCUCUGAUUAUUUGAGAAAAAAAUAUUUCUACAUGUAGCCCACUGAAAGAGUGGCGUUUUCUUUUCCCACCAGACACCAACCAUGCCAUAUGCCAACCACACCUGUCACCAUCAUUUUCGUUUGGCAUUACCGUAUUUUACUCCCUGGAACACAUUCUUUGCACACCAGAAUCAAUAAACGUUGACGACGAGGGCCACGAGGGGUGCCAUCCAUCAUCCGUGCCAACCCUGCCUGCAUAAUUAAGUCUGAACUGCUGUCCCUCGUGGAAACUCGGCGACCGGCGACCUCACCAGACCCAUCCGCCACCAACCCCGCUCUCCAGGACGCCUAUUUAUAGCUCUCGCCGCGCACGCUCUCGGCAACCAAGCAGCCGCUGCAACAUACUGUACAAUUACUUUGCACUAGCAACACAACGCUCUUACUGAGCUCAUAGCGUUUGCACCUGCCCAUCUUAACUAGUUGAUCACCGCAGCAAUGGCCUCCACCAACAGCUGGACCCACGAGAUCGAGUCGUCGGUCGCGGCACCGCGCCUGUUCCGUGCCGGCGUCAUGGACUGGCACACUCUGGCACCCAAGCUCGCGCCCCACAUCGUCGCCAGCGCCCACCCCGUGGAGGGCGAAGGCGGCAUCGGCAGCGUCAGGCAGUUCAACUUCACCUCAGGUACAUACAUAUGCACCACAUACAAUGCACGCAUGUCACCUCAGUCAGGCGGCGGCAUAAUACGCGAUUCUUUGCUCUUGCAGUCAUGCCCUUUACCCUCAUGAAGGAGAGGCUUGAGUUCCUGGACACAGACAAGUGUGAGUGCAAGUCGACCCUCGUCGAGGGCGGCGGCAUCGACACGGCGAUCGAGACUGCGACGUCGCACAUCAAGGUGGAGCCGGCGGCCAACGGAGGGUGCUUCGUGAAGGUGGACUCGACGUACAAGCUGCUGCCAGGCGUGGAGGUGAAUGACGAAAUCACCAAGGCCAAGGAAUCCGUCACCGCCAUCUUUAAAGCCGCCGAUGCCUACCUCAUCGCCAACCCUGACGCCUACAACUGAAUCAGUUGAGAGGGAUCAUAUAUGAUUAUGAUGUCCCUAGUUUGAUUCUUUUGUGCUUUCUUCCCGAUGUAAUAAAGCUGCUCCAUCUCUAAGCUACAAAUAGUAACGCCGAGGGCGAGAGCACCGAGGAGAGUGUGGACGUGAGAAGUUGAAAAUUUAGUAUUUGUAACUACUAAAGGGGCCUGUUUGUUUGAUGAUGUUGGUGCUUGCUUUAUGUGAAAUACCUAAACGCUCUUGUUUUCUUAUAUAUUUGGAAUUGGAAGAUUAUGUAUCGAUUCGUGAGGAAAAAUACCAUGAGAGNNNNNNNNNNNNNNNNNNNNNNNNNNNNNNNNNNNNNNNNNNNNNNNNNNNNNNNNNNNNNNNNNNNNNNNNNNNNNNNNNNNNNNNNNNNNNNNNNNNNNNNNNNNNNNNNNNNNNNNNNNNNNNNNNNNNNNNNNNNNNNNNNNNNNNNNNNNNNNNNNNNNNNNNNNNNNNNNNNNNNNNNNNNNNNNNNNNNNNNNNNNNNNNNNNNNNNNNNNNNNNNNNNNNNNNNNNNNNNNNNNNNNNNNNNNNNNNNNNNNNNNNNNNNNNNNNNNNNNNNNNNNNNNNNNNNNNNNNNNNNNNNNNNNNNNNNNNNNNNNNNNNNNNNNNNNNNNNNNNNNNNNNNNNNNNNGCGGUCGCAGCCUCGACCGCAACGUGUGGAAGCGCAAAACAGAUUCGGGCGGAUCCUCAACACAGAAGGCUUCUGGAUCGGGGGAUGCUGGAUCCAGAAAGUGGGACGAGGCGGCCGGCGGCAAUCUUGCUGCUCCCCCUCGAAAUGGGAGGUGGGGCGAAGAAGAUGGGGACACGAGCGAGCCUUGAGCGGUGGAGAAGAACCCUGCAUCUCCGCGAGCGCAUGAUCCUCCUGCUUAUGCUGGUAACAAUGCCCCUCCUCCUUUUCCAUGUCAGAUUUGUAAUCUGAAUGGACAUCCUACUGCUAGAUGCACGCAAGCUAUGUGUGAGCGGUGCAAAAAGAAAGGGCACCUGUCUGUUAUCUGCUCUGAAUUUUUACCUUGGGAAUUUUCGCCUGCUAUGUGUGGUUUUCAAAGCAAAGGGCUAGGGUUCUUCUAUAUUCCUGAUUUCAGUGUUGAUAGACAGCCUAGGGAGAGGAUCUUCAAUGUUGUUGUUACUAUCACCGAGGGGGAUGCGCUUACUAAAGAUAUACAUCACGAGUUUAGUGUUUAUGUGGGUCAGGGAUGGCGCUAUUCUGCUAAAUUCUUUGCUCCGAACAUGUUUGCGAUGAGGAUGCCUAACCCCAGAGAAGUGGAUCGUGCUCUAUUUGUUGAACAUAUUAAGCUGAAAAAGUGUGGUGUGGCUGUUAAAGUUUCCCCUUGGUCUGAGGAUAUCGAUUCCGAGGGGCUUCUGGAAGUUGCUUAGGUGAGGAUUGGGAGAAUUCCUCCUAAUAAACGUUGUGAUAAGAUUGUGGCUUAUGGGGGGGGGGGGCUUGUGGGCAUAACCCUGGAGGUUGAUAUGUCUACUUUGAACCGCCCGUCUUCAAUGAGAGCUAAAAUUGGAUGUCGAUCAGUGAAACAACUCCCUAACAUAGCUGAAGGAGUGUUGGGGGGCGUUUCUAUAAAUUCACUUAUGAGGUGGAAGAAAUCCUGGUGGUUAAUACUGUUAACGAUGAGGCUGUGCGUGUUGAUGCUAAAGACAAUCCUCCUAAGCCUGAUUAGACUCCUAAAUGCAAGCGAGCUGAUCAGGGGGUAGAUGAAGGGCAAUAUAGCUUAAAAAGUGGGGAUAAAGGGGAAUCAUCUGCUCGUGGGGGCAAGACCUGUCGUCUGUCACCACAGGAGCAAGAGAUAUCUAUGUCUUCUGACAGCGAGGUGGACUCCUCUCUUCUCAUUGAAACAAUGGCUAAAGAGCACGAGCUUGUAGGAAAUGAUAUGAUCCAUGAUACCUCUAAAUGGCUAACAACACUGAAUCAUGUUGAAACCAGUGCUCCAAUGGAAAAAAGAAAUAUGAAGCAGGAAAUGAAGGUACAAAAUUCAUCCGCUAUUCGUCGAUCCUUGUCUUAUGCUGAUGUGGUUUCUAACCCUGCUCAGAUUGUGGUGGAGGGAGACAUUGAUGCAGGUUUGAAGAACAACAGUGACUAUGUGGUACAGCUCCCACCUUCUGAAUAAAGUGAUGAGAUUAUUCUCACUCCUCCCCUAGCCCCUGAAGCAGCUCUUAAAUUCAGCAAGCAUAAUGUGCAGAGGAUGUAGGAGAGUAUUGUGGAAAAAGCUAUCAAUCUUGCCCAGAAAAAAGACUUGGGAGGUAAUCAUACAGCUUGUAUUAAUGCUUUUGAUGUUCUCUCCAAUUCUGAACUUUUACAUAGAGCUUCUUGCAUGGGUGUGAAUAUACCUGAUAAUGAUUUCUCUUGUGUGGAUGUACUUAGAGAAUUGGAGAGGAUGAGAGAAAAUUUAGCUGAUAAAAAUAAGGUGGAAGAGAAUAGUAAACACACUGAUGAUAAUGGGGAUGACAUUUUGGUUACUAAUGGGUUGGGUAAAUCUGUCCCUGUUAAUCUUACCUGGCUGGACCAGGAAGAGGUCUUGCACGAGCAGAUUUCUUCGGGUAAAAACAAAAAGAAAAUUAAAAAGAAGUAUGUUGUUAAGCUACCUAGACCUGUGACUAGGAGCCAAAUGAAACAAACCUCUACUGAAGAGGUGCUCUGUAGCCCUGCAAAGCCUCCUGGUAGGGCUACUCGAUCUCGUUUCCAUAAGAAUUGUUCCAAAUUAGAGGCCUCAUUUGGAACUGUAGAGGGGCAGGCAAGAAAGGGAUGGCCACCUACCUCUCUGACCUGAUUAGUGACCAUUCCUUAGACUUUGUUGGGUUGCAGGAGACUAUGAAAACAAAAUUUUCCCCUAAAUCUAUUAGGAGGAUUGAUCCCUUUGGACUAUUCCAUUGGGAAUGGAUUCCAUCUGCUGGGAAAUCUGGUGGAAUUCUGAGUGGUGUGAGACAUGAUACUUUUGAUGUUAUUUCCUGCAAUAAAGGCAAAUACAUUUUGCGAACAGUGGUGCAUGACAAGAAGAAUAAGAAGGAUUGGGGCCUCCUGGUAGUGUAUGGAUCUGCUCAUGAGGAGUUUAAAGAGGAAUUCCUGGUGGAGCUUGCUGCAAUGUGUAGCAAUAUGAGUAUCCCCUACAUUGUAGGAGGUGACUUUAAUAUUCUGCGUAGCUGCAAUGAGAAAAAUAAGAAGAUGAAUUGUAGCAGAUCUACUGAUCUCUUUAAUUCCAUUAUCGAUGCCCUGGCCCUCAGAGAGAUCUAUACCAGUGUGGGAAAAUAUACAUGGACUAACAAUCAGGCACACCCAACUCUGGAGAAACUGGACCGGAUCCUGAUGUCUGAAGACUGGGAAAAUCUUUUCCCUAUGGUUUCUGAUAGGAAAUUGGUUCGAGAACUCUCUGACCAUAACCCACUACUGCUUUCUAGUGGGGAGGAAAGUAGAGAAGCUCCUAAACCUCGUGAGUUUCGUUUUAAUCUUGCCUGGAUUAAAGAUGAGAAUUUCCUGCCUACUUUUAGUAAGAUCUGGGCUAGGAGGGUCCAUUCUUCCGACCCUAUUGAUAUCAUGAAUAUCAAAUUAAAAAGAUUCAAAACCUACUUCAAGGGAUGGGGAUCAGAUAAAUAUGGCCAUGACAAAAAAAAGGAAAGAAGAGCUCAGGAUGGAGCUGGCUAUGCUAGAAGAACUUGAAGAAAGUGGUCCCUUGUCCCCUGAGCUAUACAGCAUCAAGAUUGAUGUUAGUACUGAGCUUCAUGACAUACUGAUAAAUGAGGAGAUAUAUUGGCUCCAACAGUCUCAUGAACACUGGCUCUUAAAAGGAGACCUGGACAUAGACUAUUAUGAUAAAAUUGCAAAUGGCCGUAAGAGGAAGAACACAAUUCACUCCCUUAAAGUUGGGGAGGUGGAGAUCAAGGGUACUGACGAGCUGAUUGCUCAUGCCACAGAAUAUUACAAAAGUCUAUUUGGACCUGAGCCUGGUAAUUUGUUUCACCUUGACCCUGACACAUGGACUGAUGAGGAAAAGCUCAAUGCAAAUGAUAAUGCAGAUCUGUGCCGAGAAUUCACGGAGGAACAGGUCAAUGAGGCGCUGUUCUCUAUGGCACAUAAUAGAGCCCCUGGCCCAGAUAACAUACCUGUUGACUUCUAUCAGGUGUGCUGGGAUAUUGUUAAAUAUGAUAUUAUGAGGCUGUUUGUGAGUUUUCAUAAUGGGACUUUGGAUGUGCAACGUCUUAACUAUUGGGUGAUUACUCUUUUACCAAAAACUACGGGCGUGGAUAAAAUCCAGCAAUUUAGACCUAUAUGUCUCCUGAGAUGUCCAUACAAGCUUAUUACUAAAGUUUUGGAUCGGCGAGUGGAGAGAUACGCUGAUAAGCUCAUUAGCUAGAACCAGAACGCUUUUAUUAAGGGGAGAAGCAUUAUGGAUGGGGUGCUGUCGCUUCAUGAAAUUUUAAACUAUACUCAUGUGAAAAAGAGGGUGGGGGUCGUCCUGAAGUUAGACUUUGAGAAGGCAUACAAUAAGGUGAACUAGGACUUUCUGUUGGAAUGUCACAAGCUUCGAGGUUUUAGUGGCACGUGGUGCGGCUGGAUUAAGCAGAUCUUGCACAAUGGUACUGUGAGUAUCAAACUUAAUAACCAGGUUGGUCCAUAUUUCCAGAGUGCUAAGGGUGUUCGCCAAGGGGAUCCCCACUCCCCUUUCCUUUUUAAUCUAGCUGCUGAUUGUCUUGGGAAGAUGAUCACUAAUGCCCAAAAAAAUAACUUGCUGGUGGGUUUGGCUUCGGAUCUUAUCCUUAAUGGAGUUGCGGUGCUCCAAUAUGCAGACGACACUAUUGUCUGUUUGGAACACGAUGUUGAUAAAGCAGUAAACCUGAAGUUGUUGUUGUACAUCUUCAAGCUGAUGUCUGGACUUAAAGUUAAUUAUCAGAAAAGUGGGAUUUUCACUGUGGGUGGCGAUGAGAACACGGUGAAAUACUAUGCUGAGUUGUUUAACUGUGAUGUAGGUAGCUUUCCUAUCAAAUAUCUUGGUAUGCCUAUUAGUUAAUCCACCCUAAGAGAUUCCAAUUGGGAGUUCAUAGUGGCUAAGUACCUCAAAACAAUCGAGGCAUGGAUCGGUAAUGCUGCAUCCAUGGGGGGCAGAUUAACUUUGUUGGACUCAGUUGUCACCCAAAUAUCCUUAUAUCAUAUGUCUAUGUGGCUUAUGAGUAAAACUUUCAUUGAAAAGCUUGAUAAGCAUAGAAGGAAAUUCUUUUGGCAAGGUUGUAACAAGAAAAAGAGGUACCAUUUGGUCAAAUGGGGCAGGAUAUGUAGAUCUAGAGAUAAAGGUGGCCUGGGAGUUAAAGAUCUUCGGAAACAAAACAUUAGUUUGAUGGUCAAGUGGUGGUGGAAACUUGAGACCCAAAAUGGCCUAUGGCAAAAAAUUGUUCGUGCCCGAUAUUUGAAAAAUAGAAUUGUGGCUACGGUCAAACCCAGGUUCAAUGAUUCUCCAUCUUGGAAAGCCCUGCUUAAAGUUAAGACCCUGUAUAUGGCUGGUAGGAAAAUUAAAACUAGAUCAGGUGAUCUUACUAGAGUGUGGAAAGACUCCAUUAAUGGGUAUAGGCCAUUCCAGGACCGUUAUCCCGUGUUGCUUGAUAUAUGCACUGAUCAGGACUGCAUUGUUGCCAAAUUCAAAUAUGUGAAACCCAACACCUUCUUUAGGAGAAGGCUUACCCCUGAUCUUCAGAGGCAAUGGGAGGAAAUGAGGAAACAUAUUGACAAUUUACAGCUGGGAAAAGGGGGGGACCAAGUGUACUGGGGGCUCAAUGGGAAUGGUAGAUUUUCUACUAAAUCUAUGUACAAAUGGCUAGAAAACCCUCUUAGUGGUUGCCACUAUAGAUGGAUCUGGAAGGCCAAGAUCCCCCUCAAAAUCAAAAUUUUCUUAUGGCAGCUAUCUCAGGAUGCUGUGUUGACCAGGCAAGUUAUGAAGGAGAGAAGAUGGCCUGGGAUCCCAAAUGUUCCUUCUGUGAUAAUAUUGAAUCAUCUCGGCAUUUGUUCUUCACAUGUCCUGUGGCUAGAAUGGUAUGGCAUUGUGUUGGGAUGGCUCUAGGGACUGAUUUAUGUCCGAGCAGUUACUGGCAAUAUUUCUCCUCGUGCCACACUUUCCUUCCUUCUGGGAGGAAAUACUAUACGGUUGGCCUCGCGGCCAUUUGCUAGGCUAUCUGGCUGGCUUGAAAUCGAGCCACUUUUGAGAAAAACAGAUUAAGAUACCGUUUGAAAUUGUGUUUUCCAUGUGCUCCUUUUUUUUAUAUUGGGCAGGUCUGCAGCACGGUGAAGGAGUCAAGGAGCUGCGCAGUGGGGUGGUGAUGGUCAGGUCAAGCACUAUGAACAUGAUGAAGAUGUGCGAGAUGGCAAGGAGACCAAUCGAGGGAGAAUGAUCUCGCGAAUUCGCCUGCAUUCAGAGAUGCCACUGACAUUUCCUGCUACUGUUCGUUUCUUAUUUGGAUCUUGUGUUGGGCUUUUGGCUGUAAUAGACUGUAGUUCAUUGGGUUGAUGUGAGACUAUGAUGCUGUCAGGUUUUCGCCCCAUGGCGUUCGUUUCGAUGUUGGCCGAACGCAGUGGGUUUCCUGGCAGUGAUCGAACUCGCUGCACCUCUUUCCCCUUCCCCUGUUUUGAUUCUCGGAACUUUGUAUUUCCGUUCAUUUGCAAUGGAAAGGGGUCAUGCCCAGUUCGAAAAAAAUGUAUCUGUUGGAAAUAUGCCCUAGAGGCAAUAAUAAAAUGGUUAUUAUUAUAUUUCUUUGUUCAUGAUAUUUGUCUCUUAUUCAUGCUAUAAUUGUAUUAUACGGAAAUCGUAAUACACGUGUGAAUACAUAGACCACAACAUGUCCCUAGUGAGCCUCUAGUUGACUAGCUCAUUCAUCAACAGAUAGUCAUGGUUUCCUGACUAUGGACAUUGGAUGUCAUUGAUAACUGGACCACAUCAUUAGGAGAAUGAUGUGAUGGACAAGACCCAAUCCUAAGCAUAGCUCAAAGAUCGUGUAGUUCGUUUAGCUAGAGCUUUUCCAAAUGUCAAGUAUCAUUUCCUUAGACCAUGAGAUUGUGCAACUCCCGGAUAUCGUAGGAGUGCUUUGGGUGUACCAAACGUCACAACGUAACUGGGUGACUAUAAAGGUGCACUACAGGUAUCUCCGAAAGUGUCUGUUGGGUUGGCACGAAUCGAGACUGGGAUUUGUCACUCCGUAUGACGGAGAGGUAUCUCUGGGCCCACUCGGUAAUGCAUCAUCAUAAUGAGCUCAAUGUGACCAAGUGUCUGGUCACGGGAUCAUGCAUUACGGUACGAGUAAAGUGACUUGCCGGUAACGAGAUUAAAUGAGGUAUUGGGAUACCGACGAUCGAGUCUCGGGCAAGUAACGUACCGAUUGACAAAGGGAAUUGUAUACGGGGUUGUUUGAAUCCUCGACAUCGUGGUUCAUCCGAUGAGAUCAUCAAGGAGCAUGUGGGAGACAACAUGGGUAUCCAGAUCCCGCUAUUGGUUAUUGACCGGAGAGGCGUCUCGGUCAUGUCUGCAUGUCUCCCGAACCCGUAGGGUCUACACACUUAAUGUUCGGUGACGCUAGGGUUGUAGUGAUAUAAGUAUGCGGUAAACCGAAAGUUGUUCGGAGUCCCGAAUGAGAUCUCGGACCUCACGAGGAGUUUCGGAAUGGUCCAUAGGUAAAGAAUUAUAUAUUGGAAGUCGAGUUUCGGCCAUCGGGAAAGUUUCGGGGGUCAUCGGUAUUGUACCGGGACCACCGGAAGGGUCCCGGGGGUCCACCGGGUGGGGCCACCUAUCCCGGAGGGCCCCAUGGGCUGAAGUGGGAGGGGAACCAGCCCUAGGUGGGCUGGUGCGCCCCCCUUGGGCCCCCCUACGCCUAGGGUUGGAAACCCUAGGGGUGGGGGCGCCUCCACUUGCCUUGGGGGGCAAGGCUCCCCCUUGGCCGCCGCCCCCCUUGGAGAUUCAAUCUCCUAGGGCCGGCGCCCCCCCUGGGGACCCUAUAUAAAGAGGAGGGAGGGAGGGCAGCCAGACCUAUGCACUUGGCGCCUCCCUUCCCCCUUGCUACACCUCUCCCUCCCGUAGACGCUUGGUGAAGCCCUGCCGGAUCCCUGCUGCGUCCACCACCACGCCGUCGUGCUGCUGGAUCUUCAUCAACCUCUCCUUCCCCCUUGCUGGAUCAAGAAGGAGGAGACGUCUCCCUGACCGUACGUGUGUUGAACGCGGAGGUGCCGUCUGUUCGGCGCUAGGAUCUCCGGUGAUUUGGAUCACGAUGAGUACGACUCCCUCAACCCCGUUCCCUUGAACGCUUCCGCUUGAUCUACAAGGGUAUGUAGACGCACUCCUCUCUCUCGUUGCUAGAUGAACUUAUAGAUUGAUCUUGGUGAAACCGUAGGAAAUUUUUUAUUUUCUGCAACGUUCCCCAACCAUGGUAUCAGAGCCAGGUUUAUGCGUAGUUCUCUUUGCACGAGUAGAACACAAUUUUGUUGUGGGUGUAGAUGUUGUCAACUUUCUUGCCACUACUAGUCUUAUUUUUCUUUAGCGGUAUUAUGGGAUGAAGCGGCCGGACCGACCUUACACGUACGCUUACGUGAGACAGGUUCCACCGACUGACAUGCACUAGUUGCAUAAGGUGGCUAGCGGGUGUCUGUCUCUCCCACUUUAGUUGGAGCAGAUUCGAUGAAAAGGGUCCUUAUGAAGGGUAAAUAGAAGUUGACAAAUCACGUUGUGGCUUUCACGUAGGUAAGAAAACGUUCUUGCUAGAACCCUAUUGCAGCCACGUAAAAGAUGCAACAACAAUUAGAGAACGUCUAACUUGUUUUUGCAGCAUAUGAUUUGUGAUGUGAUAUGGCCAAAAGUUGUGAUGAAUGAUGAAUGAUAUAUUGUGAUGUAUAAGAUCAUGUUCUUGUAAUAGGAAUCACGACUUGCAUGUCGAUGAGUAUGACAAUCGGCAAGAGCCAUAGGAGUUGUCUUAAUUAUUGUAUGACCUGCGUGUCAAUGAUUUAACGCCAUGUAAUUACUUUACUUUAUUGCUAAAGCGUUAGCCAUAGUAGUAGAAGUAAUAGUUGGCGAGCAACUUCGUGGAGACACGAUGAUGGAGAUCAUGAUGAUGGAGAUCAUGGUGUCAUGCCGGUGACGAAGAUGAUCAUGGAGCCCCGAAGAUGGAGAUCAAAGGAGAAAUAUGAUAUUGGCCAUAUCAUGUCACUGUUUAAUUGCAUGUGAUGUUUAUUAUGUUUAUGCAUCUUGUUUACUUAGAACGACGGUAGUAAAUAAGAUGAUCCCUCAUAAUAAUUUCAAUAAAGUGUUCCCCCUAACUGUGCACCGUUGCGAAAGUUCGUCGUUUCGAAGCACCACGUGAUGAUCGGGUGUGAUAGAUUCUAACGUUCACAUACAACGGGUGUAAGACAGAUUUACACAUGCAAAACACUUAGGUUAACUUGACGAGCCUAGCAUGUACAAACAUGGCCUCGGAACACAAGAGACCGAAAGGUCGAACAUGAGUCAUAUGGAAGAUACGAUCAACAUGGAGAGGUUCAUCGAUGAUGACUAGUCCGUCUCACGUGAUGAUCGGACACGACCUAGUUGACUCGGAUCAUGUAUCACUUAGAUGACUAGAGGGAUGUCUAAUCUGAGUGGGAGUUCAUUAAAUAAUUUGAUUAGAUGAACUUAAAUUAUCAUGAACUUAGUCUAAAAACCUUUGCAAAUAUGUCUUGUAGAUCAAAUGGCCAAUGCUCAUGUCCACCUGAACUUCAACGCGUUCCUAGAGAAAACCAAGCUGAAAGAUGAUGGCAGCAACUAUACGGACUGGGUCCGGAACCUGAGGAUCAUCCUCAUAGCUGCAAAGAAAGAUUAUGUCUUAGAAGCACCACUAGGUGAAGCUCCCAUCCCAGAGAACCAAGACGUCAUGAACGCUUGGCAGUCUCGUGCUGAUGAUUACUCCCUCGUUCAGUGCGGCAUGCUUUACAGCUUAGAACCGGGGCUCCAAAAGCGUUUUGAGCAACACGGAGCAUAUGAGAUGUUCGAAGAGCUGAAAAUGGUUUUCCAAGCUCAUGCCCGGGUCGAGAGAUAUGAAGUCUCCGACAAGUUCUUCAGCUGUAAGAUGGAGGAAAAUAGUUCUGUCAGUGAGCACAUACUCAAAAUGUCUGGGUUGUACAACCGCUUGACUCAGCUGGGAGUUAAUCUCCCGGAUGACGCGGUUAUUGACAGAAUCCUUCAGUCGCUUCCACCGAGCUACAAGAGCUUUGUGAUGAACUUCAAUAUGCAGGGGAUGGAAAAGACCAUUCCUGAAGUAUAUUCAAUGCUGAAAUCAGCAAAGGUUGAGAUCAAAAAGGAACAUGAAGUGUUGAUGGUAAAUAAAACCACUAAGUUCAAGAAAGGCAAGGGUAAGAAGAACUUCAAGAAGGACGGGAAGGAAGUUGCGGCGCCCGGUAAGUUAGCUGCCGGGAAGAAGUCAAAGAAUGGACCCAAGCCUGAGACUGAGUGCUUUUAUUGCAAAGGGAAGGGUCACUGGAAGCAGAACUGCCCCAAAUACUUAGCGGACAAGAAGGCCGGCAACACUAAAGGUAUAUGUGAUAUACAUGUAACUGAUGUGUACCUUACCAGUGCUCGUAGUAGCUCCUGGGUAUUUCAUACCGGUGUUAUUGCUCAUAUUUGUAACUCAAAGCAGGAGCUGCGGAAUAAGUGGAGACUGGCGAAGGACGAGGUGACGAUGCGCGUCGGGAAUGGUUCCAGAGUCGAUGUGAUCGCCGUCGGCACGCUACCUCUACAUUUACCUACGGGAUUAGUUUUAAACCUCAAUAAUUGUUAUUUAGUACCAGCUUUGAGCAUGAACAUUGUAUCUGGAUCUCGUUUAAUACGAGAUGGCUACUCAUUUAAAUCCGACAAUAAUGGUUGUUCUAUUUGUAUGAGAGAUAUGUUUUAUGGUCAUGCCCCGAUGGUCAAUGGUUUAUUCUUAAUGAAUCUCGAAUGUGAUGUUACACAUAUUCAUAGCGUGAAUACCAAAAGUUGUAAAGUUGAUAACGAUAGUCCCACAUACUUGUGGCACUUCCGCCUUGGUCACAUUGGUGUCAAGCGCAUGAAGAAGCUCCAUGCUGAUGGACUUUUAGAGUCUCUCGAUUAUGAAUCAUUUGACACAUGCGAGCCAUGCCUCAUGGGCAAAAUGACCAAGACUCUGUUCUCCGGAACAAUGGAGCGAGCAACCAACUUAUUGGAAAUCAUACAUACGGAUGUGUGCAGUCCAAUGAGUGUUGAGGCUCGCGGAGGAUAUCUUUAUGUUUUCACUCUCACUGAUGACUUGAGUAGAUAUGGGUAUGUCUACUUGAUGAAACACAAGUCUGAGACCUUUGAAAAGUUCAAGGAAUUUCAGAAUGAGGUAGAGAAUCAACGUGACCGAAAAAUAAAGUUCUUACAAUCAGAUCGUGGAGGAGAAUAUUUAAGUCAUGAAUUUGGUACGCACUUAAGGAAAUGUGGAAUCGUUUCACAACUCACGCCGCCUGGAACACCUCAGCGUAAUGGUGUGUCUGAACAUCGUAAUCGCACUUUAUUAGAUAUGGUGCGAUCUAUGAUGUCUCUUACCGAUUUACCGCCAUCUUUUUGGGGAUACGCUCUAGAGACAGCUACAUUCACUUUAAAUAGGGCACCGUCUAAAUCCGUUGAGACGACACCGUAUGAAUUAUGGUUUGGGAAGAAACCUAAGCUGUCGUUUCUAAAAGUUUGGGGAUGCGAUGCUUAUGUCAAGAAACUUCAACCUGAAAAGCUCGAAAGUCGGGAAAAUGCGUCUUCACAGGAUACCCUAAGGAAACCAUUGGAUAUACCUUCUACCUUAGAUUCGAGGGCAAGAUCUUUGUUGCCAAGAACGGGUCCUUCCUGGAGAAAGAGUUUCUCUCGAGAGAAGUAAGUGGGAGGAAAGUGGAACUUGAUGAAGUACUACCUCUUGAACCGGUAAGUAGCGCAGCUCGGGAAGAUGUUCCUGUGGUGCCUACACCGACUGGAGAGGAAAUUAAUGAUGAUGAUCAAGCUACUUCGGAUCAAGUUGCUACUGAACUUCGUAGGUCCACAAGGACACGUUCCACACCAGAGUGGUAUGGCAACCCUGUCCUGGAAAUCAUGUUGUUAGACAAUGGUGAACCUUCAAACUAUGAAGAAGUGAUGGCGGGCCCAGAUUCCAACAAAUGGCUUGAAGCCAUGCAAUCCAAGAUAGAAUCCAUGUAUGAAAACAAAGUACGGACUUUGACAGACUUUCCCGAUGAUCGGCAAGCGAUAGGAAACAAAUGGAUCUUUAAGAAGAAGACGGACGCAGAUGGUAAUGUUACCAUCUAUAAAGCUAGACUUGUCGCUAAGGGUUAUCGGCAAGUUCAAGGGGUUGACUACGAUGAGACUUUCUCUCCCGUAGCGAAGCUGAAGUCCGUCCGAAUCAUGUUAGCAAUUGCCGCAUACUAUGAUUAUGAGAUAUGGCAGAUGGAUGUCAAAACGGCAUUCCUUAACGGUUAUCUUAAGGAAGAACUGUAUAUGAUGCAGCCGAAAGGUUUUGUCGACCCUGGGAAUGCUAACAAGGUAUGCAAGCUCCAGCGAUCCAUUUAUGGGCUGGUGCAAGCAUCUCGGAGUUGGAACAUUCGCUUUGAUGAGAUGAUCAAAGCGUUUGGGUUUAUGCAGACUUAUGGAGAAGCUUGCGUUUACAAGAAAGUGAGUGGGAGCUCUGUAGCAUUUCUCAUAUUAUAUGUAGAUGACAUACUUUUGAUGGGAAAUGAUAUAGAAUUUUUGGACAGCAUUAAGGCCUACUUGAAUAAGUAUUUUUCAAUGAAGGACCUUGGAGAAGCUGCUUACAUACUAGGCAUCAAGAUCUAUAGGGAUAGAUCGAGACGCCUUAUAGGUCUUUCACAAAGCACAUACCUUGAUAAGAUAUUGAAGAAGUUCAAUAUGGAUCAGUCCAAGAAAGGGUUCUUGCCUGUAUUACAAGGUGUGAGAUUGAGCUCGGCUCAAUGCCCAACCACGGCAGAAGAUAAAGAAGAGAUGAGUGUCAUCCCCUAUGCCUCAGCCAUAGGAUCUAUUAUGUAUGGCAUGCUGUGUACCAGACCCGAUGUAAACCUUGCCGUAAGUUUGGUAGGAAGGUACCAAAGUAAUCCCGGCAAGGAACACUGGACAGCGGUCAAGAAUAUCCUGAAGUACCUAAAAAGGAUAAAGGACAUGUUUCUCGUUUAUGGAGGUGACGAAGAGCUCGUCGUAAAGGGUUACGUCGACGCUAGCUUCAACACAAAUCUGGAUGACUCGAAGUCACAAACCGGAUACGUGUAUAUUUUGAAUGGUGGGGCAGUAAGCUGGUGCAGUUGCAAGCAAAGCGUCGUGGCGGGAUCUACCUGUGAAGCGGAGUACAUGGCAGCCUCGGAGGCAGUGCAUGAAGCAAUCUGGGUGAAGGAGUUCAUCACCGACCUAGGAGUCAUACCCAAUGCGUCGGGGCCGAUCAAACUCUUCUGUGACAACACUGGAGCUAUUGCACUUGCCAAGGAGCCCAGGUUUCACAAGAAGACCAGGCACAUCAAGCGUCGCUUCAACUCCAUUCAUGAAAAUGUUCAAGAUGGAGACAUAGAUAUUUGUAAAGUACAUACGGUGUUGGGGAUAUUACUACUAGGUGUGAACCGGCCUACCUGGGCCGGGUUAACUUCAUUAGUAGUAUAAAGGUGAUUAAGCAGAUGAAGGCCCAAGGCCUGUAGUCGGUUUAGAACCUGUAGCCGUAAACCGGCUUGAUAUGUAAACUUGCAUUGUAAGUUAGGAAUAGAGAGAGACCAACCGGGAUACGAGUAUGAACCGGUGUGGGACUCUAUGGACCGACGGGCGUCACCCGUGUAUAUAAGGGGACGACCCGGCGGCGGUUCAAGGACAGACAACAACAGCUCGAGCCUAGGUGAAGCUUGUUUGCUCCCUAGCCAUCGAAACCACAUCAAUUCCAUCACAACUAGACGUAGGCUUUUACCUUCAUCGAAGGGGCUGAACUAGUAUAAACCCUUGUGUCUUUGUGUCCGCUUUAACCCCUUCAAGUUAACCUGUAGCGAUGGCUCCACGACUAAGUCCUUUCACGAGGACAUCUGCCGUGACAAAUCCACGACAGUUGGCGCCCACCGUGGGGCUAUCGCACGACGGUUUGAUGAUCUUGGAGGGAAAGCUCAAAGGACAGGAUGGCUGCAGAGCGGGCCGCUUUGGACGCCCAGGCCUAUAAGCUCAUGCUCGACCAGAACGCAUCAUAGGAGGUCUUGAAAUGGAAGCACAGAUCACGCCUGCCGUUAGGGUUCGACCCUCGCAAUCUGUUUCACACUCCGGGAGCUGGAACCAGUAAUCCGCCGGGGCACCUGGUGGUAAACCGGGUCGAGGCACCAGGGCCAGGAGCGACGGUCCAACCCCGCCUGAUGGAACCUCCUCGGCAGAACAUUAUGAUUCCUCCGCCGGUCCAGACACCUCCGGGCCAUUAUUCUAAUCCUAUGGACAAUCUUGUCGCCGCUGCUGCGCGAUUAGAAGCUAUCCCGGUCGAAGGAGACUCUCCGCAAGCAAUAGAGACGCGCCGGGUUAAGGAACUUCUCCGGACCGCUUUGAUUCAACAGGAGGCAUAUUCAUACAGCCGCGAUCAGAUUCAUUCCACACCUCGUCCAAGUCGAAGCUAUAGUAGGUGCCUGGAUGAACCGGCCAUAUCAAGCAAUGCGCGGGGCCGUGAGGCAGCCCGUGGCAAUAACCCGGCCGGUGGUGUUCACGAUGCUCAGGAUGUAGUGGACCGGGCCCAGGCACGAAGGGAGGCCGAGUUAGCAGCACAGAACGAGGCGGAUCAGCUUACACCGGUUCGUCCUACCACCUUUGUCGGGCCAGGGGUCGCAUCUAGCUUGGGAGUGCCCUGUUUAGUCCCCACUUUACGCAAUGUAUGCCUGCCCAAGGAUUUCAAGGGUCCAUGCAAAGUGCCAAAUUACACCGCUGAUUUAUCUCCAGAAGCGUGGGUAGAGAGUUAUGAGAUGGCAAUGGAGAUGCUGGAUGUGGAUGAGACCGUGUGUGCAAAGUACUUCACCAUGAUGCUUGAAGGCAUAGCCCGUACUUGGUUGAAGAGCCUGCCGCCUAAUUCUAUCAGUUCAUGGGUCCAGUUGCGGACCCGGUUUAUCCAGAAUUUCAAAGAUACGUGUAAACAGCCUAAGUCCAUAGUAGACUUGGCGGCUUGUGUUCAGGAGGACGGAGAGUCAACAACCCAUUGGGUACGCCGCGUUUCUGAAGUCUUGCACUCGUCUGACAGGAUCAAUGCCGACUCUGCGAUCUUGACCCUGGAGGGCAACUGCCGGUUUAAGCCUCUAAAGUUGAAGUUGGGGCGUAUGAAGAGGUUCUGUAAUGACAUGGGAACUCUCAUGGCCGCUUUAGUGAAGUAUGCUGAUUCUGAUAGUACCAAGGAUCCCGAGACUGACGAUGACGAAGCGGGGAAGGGAAAAAAGAAUAGCAACUCUAAGGGGCAUCAAUACAGACCGGCGGGCCAUGGAAACGGAGGCAAGCGUAAAGGGGAUGGCAGCAUGGACUUUGUGGCUAACACUAAUGUGCGGGACAAUGGUCAGCGGCGCAGAGGUAAAGCGGCGAAUCGUAAUGGGGCUCCAAAUCCUAACCCGGAUCGCUUAAACUAUUUGUUGAAUCAGCCUUGCCCAAAACACGGGACGAAGGAGGCGCCGGCUAACCACCUUUGGAAGGAUUGUUACAUUAUACAGGAAUUUAAAAGCUCUAAUGCCUUCCGGUAUGACCGUGGGACAGGUGGUGGCUCAGGAUCCGGUUUCCAUGGGCCAGGUCACGAUGGAGCUUCUGGUUCAGGUUUCAAUCAGGGCGGUAAUAAUAACCAGGAUAAUCAGAGCGGCCAAGGAGGUUACAACCAACAGCAACAUCAGCAGCGGUCGGGUUAUCAGAGCCAGCCAAAACAGUUGAACAAUGGGCAGUAUCACGUUUUCACAACUAGCUCGGAUAAGCGCGACCGGAAACUUCAUAAGCGAGCAGUGAACUCUGUUGAACCGGCCGUAAUGCGCUAUUUACGCUGGUCAGAGCAGCCUAUCGUGUGGAGCAGGGAGGAUCACCCCCCCCCCCCCGGGUUGACAAUCCGGGCCAGUUGGCAUUAGUGAUAGACCCUCAAGUGGGAGGUUAUAAAUUCACCAAGGUACUCAUGGAUGGAGGGAGUAGUAUUAACAUCCUGUACUAUGAGACAUUCCGCCGCAUGGGGCUAACAGACAAGGAUCUCAGACCGUCUAAUACAGUGUUCCAUGGUGUGGUGCCUGGCAAAUCAGCAUAUCCUGUUGGUAAGAUAGCCCUGGAGGUGGCUUUUGGGGACGAGCAUGAUUCCUGAUCCGAAACACUAACCUUUGAGGUGGUGAAGAUCCGGAGCCCGUAUCACGCAUUGUUUGGGCGGCCGGCUUAUGCCAAAUUCAUGGCACGGCCUUGUUAUAUCUAUUUACAGCUCAAGAUGCUGGGUCACAAGGGGACAAUAACGGUUCAUGGGAGCCGCAAGAUUGCUUUGGAAUGUGAGGAAGGUGAUGCAGCCUAUGCAGAGUCGGUUUGUGCCACGGAGGAGUUAAAAUAUUAUAGGGACAAUGUUUGUCCGGCGGACAUGACCCCUUUGAAGAAGCCAACUACGGAGCAUGAUUCAGAUCUGAAGUUCAAAUCAGUGGCUGAGACCAAGCUUGUUGACUUCGUGCCCGGCGAUUCGUCCAAGUAGUUCACUGUCAGUGCCAACUUGGAUCCUAAAUAGGAAAGCGCGCUCAUCGAGUUCAUCCGUGAGAAUCGGGACAUUUUUGCAUGGAAGCCUUCUGACAUGCCAGGUGUACCGAGGGAACUCGCUGAGCACACUCGUAAUGUUGAUCCCAAGUAUAAACCGGUAAAGCAAUUUCUCCGCUAGUUUAACGAAGAGAGGCGCAAAGCUAUUGGGGAGGAGGUGGCCAGGCUCUUAGCAGCUGGUUUUAUCAUUGAAGUGUUCCAUCCAGAGUGGCUUGCUAAUCCGGUGCUGGUUCUUACGAAAAAUGGCACUUGGCGUAUGUGUGUGGAUUAUACGGAUCUUGACAAGGCUUGUCCAGUAGAUCCUUUUGCCCUCCCUCGCAUUGACCAGAUUAUUGACGCCACGGCGGGUUGUGAGCGUUUGAGUUUUUUGGAUGCGUAUUCUGGGUAUCAUCAGAUCAAAAUGGCGGUUAAAGACCAGGAGAAGACGGUGUUCAUUACUCCCUUUGGAGCCUUCUGCUAUGUAUCUAUGCCUUUUGGGCUCAAGAGCGCCCAAGCCACUUAUCAACGGUGUGUACAGAAUUGUCUACAUAAACAGAUCGGCCGCAAUGUGCACGCCUAUGUGGAUGAUAUUGUAGUCAAGUCAAGACAGAAGGAGACACUGGUUGGUGAUUUGAAGGAAACCUUUGACAACUUGCGGGUUUAUAAGAUGAUGCUUAAUCCUGCCAAAUGUGUUUUUGGUGUUCCGGCAGGCAAGUUACUGGGCUUUCUUGUGUCCAACAGAGGAAUUCAGGCUAAUCCGGAGAAGAUUACGGCUAUCACCUCCCUGGCUAAACCGAAGUGUAUCAACGAUGUUCAGCGUUUGGCGGGUCGGAUCGCCGCCCUGAGCCGGUUUAUCAGCCGCCUCGGAGAGAAGGCCAUCCCUUUAUACCAGAUGUUGAGAAAGACAGAUCACUUCAUCUGGAGUCUGGCUGCUGAUGAAGCAUUGGAGGACUUGAAGCGGCAAUUAGCCAAUCCGUCCGUUCUUGCAGCUCCAGUCGACAAGGAGCCGUUAUUGUUAUACGUAGCGGCCAAUGCUCGUGCAGUUAGCGUGGCUAUUGUGGUAGAACGCAAGGAGGCAGGCAAGGAGUAUCCGGUUCAGUGGCCGGUUUACUAUAUCAGCGAGGUGCUUAUUGAAUCCAAACAAAGGUAUCCGCAUUGGCAGAAGCUGGUAUAUGGAGUUUUCAUGGCAAGCUGGAAGUUGAAGCAAUAUUUCCAAGGGCACCCCAUCACAGUGGGCAGUUCAGCUCCCUUGGGCAAUAUCAUACAGAACCGGGAGGCGACUGGCCGGAUUGCCAAGUGGGCCAUAGAACUUGGGCCGCACGGAUUGAAGUACGUGCCUCGGACGGCGGUGAAGUCUCAAGCACUUGUUGAUUUCAUCAAUGAUUGGACGGAGUUGCAAGCACCAGAGGAAAAGCUGGAUCACACAUAUUGGACUAUCCAUUUUGAUGGAUCCAGGCAAUUGGAAGGCUCGGGGGCUGGAGUCGUGUUAACUUCCCCACGAGGUGAUAAGUUUUGUUAUGUUCUCCGCUUAAUGUUCCCUUGUACUAAUAAUGCAGCUGAGUAUGAAGCCUUGCUCCAUGGUCUCCGGAUGGCUAAAGAGAUGAAUCUAAGUCGGGUUAAGUGCUUCGGUGACUCGGACCUCGUAGCUCAACAGGUGUCUGGCACUUGGGACUCUAAAGACCCACUUAUGGCGGCAUAUCGUCGUGAGGUGGAUAUUGUUGCAGGUCACUUCAAGGGUUAUCAGGUGGAUCAUGUGGAUCGUGGAAAAAAUGAAGCGGUGGACGCUUUAAGCCGGUUGGGCUCUCAGCGUAAACCGGUCCCGCCUAAUGUCUUUCUUGAUGUGUUGCACAAUCCGUCAGUCAAGCUCCUAGGUGAAGCGGAUUUGGCUAUUCCUGAUUCGGAGGCUCAAUUGGUGGCAGCCCUGCAUAUUAUACCGGAUUGGACAGUUCCUUAUCUUGCGUACAUGAACCGGGGAGAGUUGCCAGAGGAUGAUACUCUAGCCAGGCAGAUAGUCCGGCGAUCCAAGUCUAUGACUAUUGUCAAUGGCGAAUUGCAUCAUUGCAGUGUAUCAGGGGCGUUUCAACGCUGCGUCUCCCCUGAGAAAGGCUGUGAAAUUUUACGCAAAAUCCAUGAAGGGGAUUGUGGUCACCACGCCGGUUCAAAGUCUCUGGUAGCUAAGGCGUUUCGUCAUGGGUUCUACUGGUUGACAGCUCAUGCUGAUGCGGAGCACUUGGUUAAACGGUGUGAUGGCUGUCAGAAAUUUUCAAGGCGUGCUCAUGUGCCGGCUCAAGAAUUGAGGAUGAUUCCAAUUACUUGGCCGUUUGCAACAUGGGGGCUGGAUAUGGUCGGACCUUUUAAAAGGUCCAAGUAUAAGAAAACCCACCUUUUGGUGGCAGUUGACAAGUUUACGAAGUGGGUUGAAGCGGAGCCUGUCAGCAAGUGUGAUGCAGCUACAGCGGUGCAGUUCAUUAAAAAGGUGAUUUUCCGGUUUGGCUUUCCACACAAUAUCAUUACUGACAAUGGUACCAAUUUAUCCAAGGGUGCUAUGAAGGAAUUCUGUGAACGUGAGCACAUCAGACUUGACGUAUCAUCAGUGGCUCACCCCCAGUCCAAUGGGCAGGCAGAACGAGCUAAUCAAGAGAUCUUGUGAGGCAUCAAACCCCGGCUUAUGGUUCCAUUGCAAAGAACACCGGGAUGUUGGGUUGAAGAGCUACCAUCUGUGCUAUGGAGUAUCAACACUACGCCCAACCGAUCUACAGGAUACACACCGUUUUUUAUGGUCUACGGAGCAGAGGCGGUUCUCCCUAGUGAUAUCCGGCACGAUUCGCCUCGUGUGGCGGCUUAUGCUGAAGCGGACAAUGAGACAGCACGGCAAGAUGCUUUGGACCUAUUAGAUGAGGAGCGUGACAUAGCGGCUGCCCGCUCGGCGAUUUAUCAACAAGAUCUUCGUCGCUAUCACAGUCGCCGGGUCAGAACCAGAACUUUUCAAGAAGGAGAUUUGGUGCUUCAGCUCAUCCAAGAUCAGACGGAUAUGCACAAGUUAUCCCCACCUUGGGUGGGACCUUUCGUGGUCAGCAAGAAUCUGCACAAUGGGUCGUACUAUCUGAUUGAUAUUCGAGAGCAUAAAGACUCACGCACAUCAGAGGAGGAGACUAACAGGCCGUGGAAUAUAGAUCAUCUUCGGCCUUACUACAAUUGAGCCAUCGGCUCUAUCUAUGUACAUACUAUGGUAGUGUAUAUAUUAUCAUUGAUAUAAUAAAACCGGAGCCUCAGCUAAAGCGGGGUCUCUGUUCUUUCAUAUCAUGUGUGGUUACAUGGAGUGGUUCUGUUUUAAAGCGGCCUCUGGUUUACCCCUUGAAAUUUUCUUUUCAACAAAAGCUUUGUGAUAUCACUUGGGGCCUUGGUCGUGUCCGAACCAAUGCGACGCCUUUUGAUAGGCGAAAGCCACCAGAUCACUUGGGGACAUGGUCAAGUCUGAACCAGUCACGCCUCUUGAUCGGCCUAAGGCCACAGAAUCACUUGGGGGCUUGGUCGAACCCGAACCAUUGCCACACCUUUUGAUCGGCAUAAAUGCCACGGUUUCAUUUGGGGACCUCGCUGACUUGAACUAUUUUCACUCCUAUUUGGGGGCUUGGUCCUGUCCGACCAUGGUAACACCAUCUGAUCAGCUCAGUAAAGCAUGUUUUUGCAAACGGUUUUUAUCAUUGCCUUUGUUUCCAUAUUUCUUUUAUGGCUAUUCUUCAAUUUUUGUUGUGCUUCCUUUAAACCAACAACACCUUUUUACCGGUUCAGCUGACGGAAAUCGGUUCAUUUGUAUUCCGGAGAAAUAUGCCCGGUUUAACUUUCCUGUUAACAUCAUGAAGUAGCAGGGGGGCUCAUAAUGACCCAGCGCGGUUUACAUGGGAGUUGUUUUCUCCCCUUUGAUGGUAACGGUUUAUAAAACCUCCGUUUCAAGCCUGGCUAAGCCAAUUUUAUGCCCAGUGAUGGAAGGUAUUUUGUAUCGCAUUUUUUGAUUAUAUGUUUUAAAUACAUUGAUCAAGGUUAUAAACCGGUUGGCGGUAUAACCGCCACCGCAGUUCAAGAUUUUCUGAUUGCAGGAAAUAUAAAUUGAGGAUUUCAAGCAAAAGCAUCAGUACUUAUGCACGAAGGCAUAUUUAAGGCAGAAGUAUUGACUAUCCUAUUACAAGGCAACAUGGUGCCCAGAUAAGAUCAUUGUUAUUUUGGCAGAUCAUAAUAAGGCAGUUGUCUAAACCGGCUUCCGGUUCAAGCCUGCUCAUCAAACCGGUCUGACGGUUGUGGGUCGUCCCGCGCCGCUUCACCUUCCUCAUCUCUAUCUUGGCUGGAAAUCAACAGUGGACCAGUCGAUUCCCAUUAAAGCUUGAAAGACAGCUUCUUCAUGGAUCAGAGAAGACGGUUCAAUAUCAGGAGCGUAAGUAUGCUUACGGAUUGGAGGAACCAGAUUCGCCGCUUCAGGAAUUGGUGCGGCCACUCUUUUGUUCUGAUCAUUGUACUGAGCUUGAUAAUGCGACAAGUCGGCCUCUUCAGCCAAUUGACAAGCCAGAGGGCGUACUGCACGGUUUAUUGCCCUCAAAUCAUCUUGAUUGAACUCUGAGCCAUCUUCCUUCAAGCUGGGAUAGCCUUGAGCUGCUUCAACAGGAUCAAAAUCCGGCACCCAUGCUUUUUCCCGGAUUAAGGCGUUGAUGGCUCCGGUUCGAGCAGCAGAUUUUUUCAGUUCUUCAAUCCGAGCAGGAAGCAUUGACAAUCUGUUAAGAGUGUCUUGGAUUAAAGUGGGUGCCGGAUUGUUAUGAGAUGCAGUGGUGAUGAUCCGUUGCGCUCCGGUAUACAACUGUUCAAUUAAAGUGUAGGCAGCCUUCAGCUUCUUCCGAACAUCUGACCCUAAGUGACCAAUGCGUGUACUUGCAAACAAUACAGGAAAGAUCACAAACCGGAUCUAUUAUAAGCAUGCCCGAGUUGUCCAGGAAACCAAAAGGCACUUACCAAAGAUAGCAGCAGUCAUGGAAUGUACUUGCCGCUUUACGGUGGUCAGCUCAUCUACCACCGGUUUAAGGGAAGCUUCAGCGUUUUCAGCUCUUUUUAUUAAAUCGGCCUUUUCAGUGGCCCAAUCAGUCCGCUCCUUCUUGAAGCCCUCUUUCAGCUGUUCUGUGAUGCUUAAAGUGCUGGUUGUUUCUUCCCUUGCCUUGUCGGUUUCAGCUUGUUGGGUUUUCAAAAUUUCCUGCAGAUCAGUAAUCCGGUCCUCUUUGAUCCUCACUUCAGCCUGCAUAAAGACAGUGCUUGGCUUUCAACAAACGGUAUAAGAAUUUGAAGUACCAACCACAUAACAAGUUAUAUGCUUGAUACUUGGGGGCUAAUGCACCUUCAACUUUCAUCUAUUACUAAAUCGCAAAGUCCCAAGCUCAAUACAGGUAUUCAACUUGGCACUUGGGGGCUAAUGGCUAUUUGCUCAGUUAUGUUCUGAUGUUAGAAUCUUUAAUGGAGUCCCGGUUUAACUAUACUAAGUUGAACCGGCCCUUCGGGGUUACAUUGAUGGAUUUCAAAGUAUUGAGGACUAUAUUCAAGUUCCGGUUUGAAGAAGAUUACAAAACCGGCACUUGGGGGCUAGGAGGAUUAAUACAGUGCCAGUAAUUAAAGAAAGAAGAAGCGCAAGGGAGUUACCUCAAAUUUAUCUCUCAUUUUUUUUACCAGGCCAGCUUCAUAGUCACGACUAGUAUAUAGCCGGUUCAAGUAACCAGAAUGAACAUCUUGGGCACUCAGAGCAGCAUAUGUUUCCAGAUCAACAUCCCAUUUGCCUUUGUUCAUGCCAGAAGAAUCUUCUUUCACAGUAUGCUUGGCCAAAGCGACAGGAUUCCCUGGUUCAAAGCGACCUACGCCGGUAAUUACAACGUCAUUAUCCUUGGACUCGCCGGUUUGUGUUGGCGCGGUCGGUUUAUCGGCAGGUUUUGAAGGACGGCGGGAUCCAUCAAUCCGGACGGAGCUAGCAGGCUGGUCAAGAAGGACUGAGGUAUUGAUAGGCCUUUUAUCAGUAAUAGCAUCAUCUUGCAAAGGAGGAUCAUUGGGAAUAUCUUCAGGAACGAACGAUUCAAGAUCUGGUGUUUUAUCCUGUUCAGGGGCAGCAUCUUCCUCGGCCGCUUUAUUCAGGCGGGCUUUUUUGCUUGGUUUAGGUUUAGCCCUGUAAGAGAAACAAAAAGUCAAGGAACAACCUAAGUUGUAACGUAGUAUACCAGAAGCAUAUGUUCAGUCUAGCUUACCCAAGAACCAUUUUCAGUGGUGGCAGUUGAGUGGCCGACGAUUCACCAGAGGAAGAAUGGGAAGUAACCUGAUAAUUAGAGUCGGACGUAUUAAGAGGUUGACGGAUGAAACCCGCUUUAGGACAUAAAUUAAUAAAAAGGUCGGAGACCUCGGAGCGGCGUUUUCAAACCGGACUGUUUGGUAAACCGGCGGAGGUAACUACCUGGCCGCUAUGCCGGGUUGUGCGGCGAGCUUCAUGUUGCGAGUCUUCAUAAGAAAUUUGGGAUCCAAAUAAGCAAGAGUAUGAGAAAAUUUAACUUUCCGGUUUGCCUGGCGAAAUUUUGGCAAAGGCAAAGGAUCUGAAUCAGAAGAGAGAAUAAUUACCUCAGCGACGUCAGCAUUACUGGCUUCAGCGUCGUCCUGACAAGUAUCAUCAUCAAUAAGGCGUGUAAAAAGUAAGCCUAGUGAAUCGAGUUCUACCUCAGGGUCCGAGUUACCCACAUCAUCAUCAACAGCCGGAUCAGAUGAAGCAGUGGUUUUCCUCUUUUUAGCAGGCUUCUUGAUGACCUUGGUCUUUGGCCGGAUUGGCCGUUCUGCUUUCUCCGGUUUGUCUUGUGAAAGCUUCUUGCUCCAAAACGGAUUAUCACCCUGGGUAAGCAGCAAUUGAUGUCAGACAGAGAUAGCAAUAACAGGUUCAAUAAAAAGUACAAUCAAAAACUUACAGCUGGCGGUUUGUUGGUAGCACAGAAAGGGGGCAGGCCGGUUUGAGCGCAGAGGUGCUCCGGUUCAUUCAGCAUUUUCUUCACAGCCUCUGUGACUUCAUCAUCGGAGAGCUGGAUGUUGAUGUGUCGGAGUGGGUCAUCAACGCUACCAGUAUACUUGCACAUUAACCCGGAGCGCCGGCUGAGAGGCAGUAUGCUCCAUGAUAUCCAACAGCGUGCGAGAUCUACUCCUGUUAAACCGUUGGCCAUGAAGGCUCGGAGCUUGGAUAAUUGCGGAGCGUAUUUACUCCUCUCCUUGGCACUUAACCUUUGUGGGAAGGGGUGUGUAUUGCUGAGCCGCUCCGGACGAAAGCUAGGCAAAGGAUUUUCAUCAUUAGGGGAAGUGUCUUUGCAGUAAAACCAUGUGGCAUUCCACUCCUUGGGGUGACUGUGUAAUCUGGCAUGGGGAUAAGUGAUUUCUUUCCUUUUCUGAAUUGCCAUACCACCCAAUUCGGUAUUGGGACCAUCAGUGAAUUCUGUGCGGCGGUUUAAGUGGAAGCAGUCUCUGAACAAUUCAACUGUGGGUUCCUCUUGAAGGUAUACCUCACAGAGCACUUGGAAGUGACAUAAAUUGGUAACAGAAUUGGGGCCAGUAUCUUGCGGGCGAAGUUGAAAAUUGGCUAACACGUCCGGUAAAAUUUAGAGCCGGGCGGUUUGAAGCCCCGGGCUAAGUGAUUCGCAAAGAUCACAACCUCUCCCUCUUGAGGUGUGGGAGGACAUUCAUUACCAGGAACCCUCCAGUGGAUAAUCUCUUUGCUUUCUAAAGCGCCGAUCGAGACUAAAUCAUCCAACUGAGUUUCUGUGACACGAGAAGGAACCCAGUUGCACUCAUAUACUUGUUUGGCCAUGGUGAGAUCUACAAGAAAUAGGUGAUUCCGGUUCAAGAACAUGUUGGAUAAAAGAAGGUGCCGGUAUGAACAAUGCUAAAUCGGAGGCAGUAUACUUAAACCGGAUUUUUAUGAAGUGGCAUCAUAUGGCUAAAGAGUUCUGGCGGUUCAACAAGGGGACUAAUGGUAUAUACCGGUUUAUUAACUUUUUCUAUAUUAAGUUAAACCGCCUGAUCUAAACAUUGAAAGCAAUUGAGGUUGCGGAUGGCUAAGUAUGCAGAAACAGGUUUUAUAAAGUCUUAUUGCGGCAAUGGAUCUGAAGCAAGUUCAGAAAAACAGAAAAUAUUCAAAAGAUUAAAGCAGAACGGAAGUGAAUCAAUGGGCAGGUACGUAGAUGAGACCUAUGGACUUGAGCGUGAAACUACAGGUGGAUACUAAAAGGCUACUGCUAAUCAGAGCAGGGUUUCACAGAUCUAUCCAGGAGUCUGGGUACGAGCAUGAACAAGUGAGGAACGCGGCAAGAACAUGAAACCCUUAACAGAUCUAUGUCAAGAAGAGCAGAAGGCUUACCAGAAUCGAGGAAGACGCGGAAAGCUACCGCAGUGCUCUGGAUCAUUCAGGUUGAUGCAGCGGCCCAAGACGGUGCAGAGGUCGAUGGCGGUGGCGGAGCUCCGAGGCUGGCGACGCGAGUAAGACAAAGAGAAAGAGACGAAGGGGAGAAAAGGAAAUGACUCUUCGGUCCUAUUUAUAAGGCAAAGGACGUGUGUCAGGCGCGCGAAUCCGGGAGCCACAGAAUUCGGAAGUGGAGCUGCUGCCUUGGGUAUCGCAGAUCUAUUAAUAAAAGAAGGUGUCAUAAAUGUUAACUUCAUGAUGACGUCAUGCCGGUUUACAGCAACCAGAGAUGAUGACGACAUGGCGGUUUAUCAAUUACCAGAGGAUGUUGAAGACAAAGAUUUCCUUGUGAAGGAUUGACAUGAACCAGUUCAAAUCAAUAUGGGGCCUAAUGUUGGGGAUAUUACUACUAGGUGUGAACCGGCCUACCUGGGCCGGGUUAACUUCAUUAAUAGUAUAAAGGUGAUUAAGCAGAUGAAGGCCCAAGGCCUGUAGUCGGUUUAGAACCUGUAGCCGUAAACCGGCUUGAUAUGUAAACUUGCAUUGUAAGUUAGGAAUAGAGAGAGACCAACCGGGAUAUGAGUAUGAACCGGUGUGGGACUCUGUGGACCGACGGGCGUCACCCGUGUAUAUACGGGGACGACCCGGCGGCGGUUCAAGGACAGACAACAACAGCUCGAGCCUAGGUGAAGCUUGUUUGCUCCCUAGCCAUCGAAACCACAUCAAUUCCAUCACAACUAGAUGUAGGCUUUUACCUUCAUCGAAGGGGCCGAACUAGUAUAAACCCUUGUGUCUUUGUGUCCGCUUUAACCCCUUCAAGUUAACCCGUAGCGAUGGCUCCACGACUAAGUCCUUUCACGAGGACAUCUUCCGUGACAAAUCCAUGACAUACGGACCUGAAUGUGGCAGAUCCGUUGACUAAACAUCUCCCUAGGGCAAAACAUGAUCAACACCAGAAUUCCAUGGGUGUUUGAUUCAUCACAAUGUAACUAGAUUAUUGAACUCUAGUGCACGUGGGAGACUGUUGGAAAUAUGCCCUAGAGGCAAUAAUAAAAUGGUUAUUAUUAUAUUUCUUUGUUCAUGAUAUUUGUCUGUUAUUCAUGCUAUAAUUGUAUUAUCCGGAAAUCAUAAUACACGUGUGAAUACAUAGACCACAACAUGUCCCUAGUGAGCCUCUAGUUGACUAGCUCGUUGAUCAACAGAUAGUCAUGGUUUCCUGACUAUGGACAUUGGAUGUCAUUGAUAACGGGAUCACAUCAUUAGGAGAAUGAUGUGAUGGACAAGACCCAAUCCUAAGCAUAGCUCAAAGAUCGUGUAGUUCGUUUAGCUAGAGCUUUUCCAAAUGUCAAGUAUCAUUUCCUUAGACCAUGAGAUUGUGCAACUCCCGGAUAUCGUAGGAGUGCUUUGGGUGUACCAAACGUCACAAUGUAACUGGGUGACUAUAAAGGUGCACUACGGGUAUCUCCGAAAGUGUCUGUUGGGUUGGCACGAAUCGAGACUGGGAUUUGUCACUCCGUAUGACGGAGAGGUAUCUCUGGGCCCACUCGGUAAUGCAUCAUCAGAAUGAGAUCAAUGUGACCAAGUGUCUGGUCACGGGAUCAUGCAUUAUGGUACGAGUAAAGUGACUUGCCGGUAACGAGAUUAAACGAGGUAUUGGGAUACCGACGAUCGAGUCUCGGGCAAGUAACGUACCGAUUGAUAAAGGGAAUUGUAUACGGGGUUGUUUGAAUCCUCGACAUCGUGGUUCAUCCGAUGAGAUCAUUGAGGAGUAUGUGGGAGCCAACAUGGGUAUCCAGAUCCCGUUGUUGGUUAUUGACCGGAGAGGCGUCUCGGUCAUGUCUGCAUGUCUCCCGAACCCGUAGGGUCUACACACUUAAGGUUCGGUGACGCUGGGGUUGUAGAGAUAUAAGUAUGCAGUAAACCGAAAGUUGUUCGGAGUCCCGGAUGAGAUCCCGGACGUCACGAGGAGUUCCGUAAUGGUCCGGAGGUAAAGAAUUAUAUAUUGGAAGUCGAGUUUCGGCCAUCGGGAAAGUUUCGGGGGUCACCGGUAUUGUAUCGGGACCAUCGGAAGGGUCCCGGGGGUCCAUCGGGUGGGGCCACCUAUCCCGGAGGGCCCCAUGGGCUGAAGUGGGAGGGGAACCAGCCCCAGGUGGGCUGGUGCGCCCCCCUUGGGCCCCCCUGCGCCUAGGGUUGGAAACCCUAGGGGUGGGGGCGCCUCCACUUGCCUUGGGGGGCAAGGCUCCCCCUUGGUCGCCGCCCCCCUUGGAGAUUCAAUCUCCUAGGGCCGGCGCCCCCCUGGGGACCCUAUAUAAAGAGGGGGGAGGGAGGGCAGCCGGACCUAUGCACUUGGCGCCUCCCUUCCCCCUUGCUACACCUCUCCCUCCCGUAGACGCUUGGCGAAGCCCUGCCGGAUCCCUGCUGCAUCCACCACCACGCCGUCGUGCUGCUGGAUCUUCACCAACCUCUCCUUCCCCCUUGCUGGAUCAAGAAGGAGGAGACGUCUCCCCGAUCGUACGUGUGUUGAAUGCGAAGGUGCCGUCCGUUCGGUGCUAGGAUCUCCGGUGAUUUGGAUCACGACGAGUACGACUCCCUCAACCCCGUUCCCUUGAACGCUUCCGCUUGAUCUACAAGGGUAUGUAGAUGCACUCCUCUCUCUCGUUGCUAGAUGAACUCAUAGAUUGAUCUUGGUGAAACCGUAGGAAAUUUUUUAUUUUCUACAACGUUCCCCAACAGUAUCGACCUGUUACAUAUGUCUUAUAUGUAUGCGAAAUACCUAAACACUCUUAUGCGCAAAAAAGAAAAAUGUUUAUAUGUCGUCAAAGUCUUUUCUUAGGAAUCCAAAAGAAAGACUUCUAUUUGCUACUCCCUCUGUUCCUGAAUAUAAGCCUUUUAGAGAUUUCAAUAUGGAUAGCAUAUAUACGGAGUAAAAUGAGUGAAUCUACACUCUAAAAUACGUCUAUAUACAUCUGUAUGUAGUCCAUAUUAAAAUCUCUAAAAUGGCUUAUAUUUAGAAACAGAGGGAGUAGAACAUAAUUUUGUUUUCUCUUUUCAAGUUGUAAGAGAUAGUCAAUAUGUCAUUUUCUUUUAUUUUGGAACCAUUUUUUGACAAGUGCAUCUAUAAUCUAUUGGGACCUUGUUGGCAAGUGAAAUCCACGUUCUUCGUGUAUCCCUUUUUAAAGGUAACUUACAUAUGUGUAUAAUAAAUAACAAAAAUGCAAGUUCCAUUAGGAGUUCUUAAACUAUCACAACCUUCUUGCUUGCCUUUUUGUUUCACUUUGUUUCGAGACUCUCUAAUCUUUCAUCCAUUUCUCGCAUGACUCCUUUUAACCAUCAAACUAACAAAUUCUGUUAGGUGGAUGCUGACAUGGGAAACCGAGCGUGAGCUAGGGCGUAACGGUGGGAAUAUCAUAUGAGAAAGGGGGCCCAUCAUAUCACAGAAAAUAAGAGAGGCAACUGAAAAGUUGUGAUAGUAACACCCCCCCCCACACACACACACACUCACACUAAAGAGCGUCGAUAGAUUAGGAAAUAUGUAAUGGAAAAUUAGUCUUUGUUUCUCUUCUAUNNNNNNNNNNNNNNNNNNNNNNNNNNNNNNNNNNNNNNNNNNNNNNNNNNNNNNNNNNNNNNNNNNNNNNNNNNNNNNNNNNNNNNNNNNNNNNNNNNNNNNNNNNNNNNNNNNNNNNNNNNNNNNNNNNNNNNNNNNNNNNNNNNNNNNNNNNNNNNNNNNNNNNNNNNNNNNNNNNNNNNNNNNNNNNNNNNNNNNNNNNNNNNNNNNNNNNNNNNNNNNNNNNNNNNNNNNNNNNNNNNNNNNNNNNNNNNNNNNNNNNNNNNNNNNNNNNNNNNNNNNNNNNNNNNNNNNNNNNNNNNNNNNNNNNNNNNNNNNNNNNNNNNNNNNNNNNNNNNNNNNNNNNNNNNNNNNNNNNNNNNNNNNNNNCUUCCAACUGCUAUCAAACUUUGCUCAUUUUGCUCGUCAUUAUGAUGUUGGUUUUCAUUUUGAGGUUCCAAAAUAUAUUGGGAACUACUAAUAUCGCUACUUAUCUGACAAAGCUAGGAUAAAGCAAAAGAUAAACACACUCAAUCCUCCUCCCCAAGAAAAGACCCAGGGCGAUGGACCUCGGCCCUUCGCCAGCGGGAGGGACCACACUCUCGUUAUUUUUAGGUUCAUCAUCUUGGUUGGGAUUGUGUGAUGGCGGCGAUGUCCCUCAGUAGGAAUAAUGCUGCUCACAUUCGAUCCCCAUCCCCAUCAUGCGUCUACCAUCGUUGGAAGGCGUUUGGAGGAGAGUCUUCACCAGGUCUCACGGGAUUCAGCCGGUAGCGGAUCUUUAAAGGAUCUAUUUUGACCUAGUACUUGUUUGGGUGUUUAUGAGAUUUGAUCCUUUUGAUCUACAAUUCUCUUCAUCCGUGAUGGUUGCUACUCCAGUGUGUUGAUCCUGUGGGGCUUUAGCAUGAUGACUUUUCAACUGUUUACUACUACAAGGUUUGCGAAGCUCCGGUGAGACAAGGGCGAUGACGGUGGCCCAUACUUGGUUUGGUCUAGUGCUUGUAGUCGUUGCUAGUUGGUAAUUGUUCACACAAGAACACAUCACCAUGUACCCUCGACGCUGGGUGUUAUGCACCGCAGCUCACGUCGAAGGAGACCCAACCAGCAGCGCGGUACGCAAGCAAGCCGGCGGAUGCUUUUGUAGACCCGAAACCACAUAUGCCUGGGAGGGACCCCGUCAGGGCACGCGGUGGUUAUGGGCUGCCCUAGGUCGACUUGAUCGCCCCUUGAGCCUCGAGGUUCGCCGACCUGCAAUGAAGAAGAACAAACGAAGAACGAGGAAUAAGAAGAACAAGGGAGAAGAUAAAAAUAAAGGUAAAAGUGGUAGAUUCAUUUGAUCGAUUUUGUGUUAUUCAAUCAGCCAGGACUCCAAAUCUCGUUCAAAUCCUUCCAAAAUUAGUCGAACUCGGAUUAGGUAUGUCUGAGACAACAGUCCGGUUUUUGUGUUUCACAGGACAAAUAUGUCCUUGGAUGAAGAUGCAUCCAAAAGCAAAUUUAACUGUUUUGAUGAGACGGACAACUUUUGUGUUGAACAUUUCUCGAUUCGAGGCCAUCUUGAGGGCCGAAUCUCUUGCGCGACCCAUCAGACAUCGCGUCUGAUGCCCCGGGCAGUUUUUACUCAUGAUAGGUCUGCAGUGUAUUGGCUCCAACUUUUGCAUACGGCCUCGGAAUGAGACGAGUUUUAAAUCAAAAUCGAUCGUUUCGACGAGACCAAGACAAUCCGUAGAUAAAAUUUUCUCAUAUGAGGCUGUCUUGGAGGUCUAACCGUCCGAACAGUACUCCGCAUACAAAAUCUAGUACUUCGAGCACAACGUCGACAAUACAAAACUUCUUUAUGCAGAUCACUCCUUCAUUUGAGGCCAUCUUAAUUAAGUUCUUGACCGUGCCAAAAUCUGAUGUCAACACAUGCCCCUCUGUUUUUCGCAAAAAUUGUGUGCCAAAAAAUAACUUGCACGAAGUUAGCGUGAUGUUAACACUCCAUGGGCCAUUUUGUACGUGCUUAGGACGAUAAGUAUAUAUCUGCCAUUUAAAUUAGCAACAAAAGUGAAACUAAUUGAACAUAUGAUGAUUUGUUAAUACCCUUUCAUGAUGUAAGAAAUUAUAUUGCAUCCACGGAUUAAAAUAAAUAAGCCCAUUGAGGGUAACCAAUUAUACCUGAUGACGAAUUCCAUGGCAUAGGCAUCAACAGCAUAGCUGAAGAAUAUGGAUAAUGUGUGGAUCGAAGACAUUGAAACCUUCGUCUUGCUCCUUCAUAGUUUUCACUCUUUUCCUUCUUCACCUUUGCCGCACUUCUUGUAAUGUAAGCUUGCACAUAAUUCUUAUUUUGAGUACUUCCUUUGAGAACCCAUGCCAUGUUCCUUUCUUCAAGUUCUUGUGCACUAUUUUUUUUAUUUCUUAUUUUGACAAUAUGAUAAGCCGAGUGAGCACCCCGGCUAUGAUUUUUUUCAUCUGAGAUCAAAUCUGAAGUAGCACUCUUACGACCAUCUUUUUUAACACGGUAAACUUGCUUGACCACCACUUUCCUGUUCCUUGAGCUCCGGACUGAUUCCUUAUGAUUUAAACGGUCUUUGACAUGUGAUUGUUCAAAUGUUGACCUUUUUGGAGUUUCAUAAUGUUUGUGAGAUGGUCUAAAAAUAAUAUGAAGAAUGCACCCUUGUAUCAUACCUGUCCCACGAUGGAUAUGAAUUUACAUGAUCAUAGGAAGAUAUCCAUGGCAUUGACGGCACAAAAUAUGGAUAUGAAUAUACUGCAUUAGAAUUCUCAUUUUCCCCAUACCGAUCCUUGGUUUUGCGCCUAGGGGGUGGUAUUUAUGCUCUUGAAUUACUUGGCCGAUAAGCACUCUUCUCCUCAGUUAUCUUCUGAUAUUUUUUCAAUAGUUGCGCGAAAGUGACUUUCGACUUUUGACCAUUGUGGUUAUCUCGUCCUUUGCUUUCUUUAGUUGUGCUUGCACCGAUCUUUGGAUUUUCUUGUUGCCCUCUAGUACUUGGCGUCUUUUAUGCAACCUUGAUGGAAUUCCCGUCUUCAAGAAUAUUUUCAUUGUGCUCUUGAACAACUUCUUUACUUGAAAACUUGAUCCUAUCGUCCACAAUUUUUACCUUCUCAUGCUUAAAUGGAUCGGCUUCAAGCAGCCGAUGCAAAAAUCAUUUGCCAUCAGGACCAAUCAGAAUAAACUAAUCAUCUCUUGGUGUCUCAACAAAUUUCAAUCGUCCUUUAUGAAUAUCCGAUUUAACUAUUUGAUGAAACAUUUUGCAAUCCUCAAAAUUAUGUUUGAAGGAAGGAUGCAACCUAGAAUACAUUCGUCCAUGAAUUGAUGGCUUGACAUGGUGAUAAAGAAUUCUUAUGUAAUUAUUUUUCAGUAAUAAAUCAAAUAUUUUAUCACACAUAUGUGCUUGAAUUGAAAGUAAACUUUGGAGCUAAGCAAACGAAUGGUUCAGAUUUUGCAUUACCCCAUUCGGCUAUGCAUUGUGGUUUGCACUCUAUCUCCGAUGUCUUUGAAAAGGAAAUUAUACUAUCAUCGGUUUUCUCAACAGAGUAUAACCUUGGCUUUAAAUUUCUGAAAUCAAAGUAGUUAGAACAUACAUGUCUCAAUUGAGACCAUGCGUAAGCCAAGUAUGAAAUAAGCAAAGCUACCCAAUUAGAUAUGAAUUUUAAAUAAAGCAAUGGGAAAAACUUUGGCUGCAAUAAUAAGUCACUAUCGUUAUUUACAAAUGGCACAAUAGGUUGACUGAUAUGUUCUAUAACAAUUUUAUUGCUAAAAAGUAAAUUACUCUUCUUCAUUGGUCUUUCAAAAUUACUUAUGAGAAUUUUUCUUAUAGAAGCAUCAACAAGAAAGUUGCGACCAAAUUGGAAGAUAGGUAAAUCACUUGCUAGACAUACCUUUUCAAACACGUUGGGAAAGCAUGAUAGUUGUGUUACUUGAACGACAUAUUGUUCCUCUUUCAAAUAGCUCCCCAACACCUUGUCAUCCUCUUUUUCUAGAAUAGAUUCAGCAUACGUAAUAUUUGAUUCAGUCCUUUCAAUUACGAAUUAACUUUGUUAUCCGAAUCACCACUUUUUUGAUAAUUCUAUCCACACCCAAUGUUUUAUUUUUUUGACAUAAUCUAGCUUGUAUUGCAACAGAAUUAAUAGGUUUUCCCACUUUUAUUAAUUCAUGUAGAACACAAUUGCAUUCGUCGCAAAAAGAAGUAAGAUUUUUCUUAAUUACCCUAUCUGGAAAGAAUUGCCCCCCUGACACUUGUAGAAUCUUUCGGUAACGAGAUGUCGUCAAAAUUCUGUAAUUGUGUAGGAAAAACAUUGUAUGCUAUGAUACUAGGUGAAGACACAUGUGAUCCUAUAUAAUUUUCAGUUAUUCGACUAUUAGCGUGAAGGUGCGAAAGCCGAAUUAUGAAUACCUAUAGUUGCAUAUUGUGCCAAAAACUUAGUAGCAUGAGGUGUAGCAUAUGAUGAUUGAGGGUAAUUGGCUAGAUAAUUAGUAGUAGCAUGGUCAAUUUCCCGAUCCACCGGCAUGUUUGAAUUAACAUAUUGCAAGUUAGUAGCCGAUGAAUAAAAAUGUGAAACAAUUUGUUGCAUACUAUCGGAAGUUCCUGUGUGAGGUGUUUCAACUUGAUUAACCGAACUCAUCAUGUUAUUCAUCGGCAUAGGGAUUUGUGGGGUUGCCGAUGCAUGGGAGUUGGAAUACAUAAGUUGCAUGUUGCUAAAAUUAUAUGAGGUAGAAGCAUGAAGAUUUUGUUACAUUGGCUCUUGCACAUAAUUAGAUGCAUUAUUGAUAAAGCUAGGGCUAGACGAUACAUUAUGCUCAUUAGAUGAUCUAGCAACAACAUAUGUGAAUUGGGUAUUCAUAUUACCUUUGUAGAUUGCAAACCCUAGAUGAAGAUCUCUUCGUAGUAAGAACGGGCCGAAGACUGUUCAAAACUUCGUCCCCAGCGGAGUCGCCAAAAUGUGUGUUCACACACGAACACGUCACUAUGCACCCUUGAUGCCGGGCCGGGGGUGAUGCAUCACAACUCACGUCGAAGGAGACCCAACCGAAAACGCGGUACACAAGCAAUCCGGCGGGCGCUUUUGUAGACCCGGAACCCCACACAUCCGCGAGGGACCUCAUCAGGGCGCGCAGCUGCUAUGGUCUGCCCUAGGUCGACCUAAUCGCCCCUAGAGCCUCGAGGUUCGCUGCCCUGCAAUGAAGAAAAACGAACGAAGAACGAGGAAGAAGAAGAACAUGGGAGAAGAUAAAAGUAAAGGUAAAUGUGGUAGAUUGAUUUGAUCGAUUGUGUGUUGUUCAAUCGGCCGUCACCUCUCAUCUAUUUAUGAGGCGGCUAGACUUUCCGUACAAGAAAAGGACUCCAAUUCUCGUUCAAAUCCUUCCAAAAUUAGCCGAACUCGAAUUAGGUAUGUCUGAGACAGCAGUUCGAUUUUUGUAUUUCACAUAUCAAAUACGGCCUCGGAUGAAGAUGUGCAUAAAAGCAAACUUAACCGUUACAACGAGGCGAACACCUAUUGUUUUGAACGUUUUUCGAUUCGAGGCCAUCUUGGGGGCAGAAUCGCUCGAGCGCCCCAUCAGACAUCAUGUCUGCUGCCCCGGGCCAGUUUUUACUCUUGAUAGGUCUGCAGUGCAUUGUCUCCAACUUUUGCAUACAACCUUGGAAUGAGACUAUUUUUAUAUCAAAAUCGAUCGUUUCGACGAGACGAAGACAAUCCGUAAAUAAACUUUUCUCAUAUGAGGUUGUCUUGAUGGCCUAAUUGGCCAAACAGUACUCUGCAUACAAAAUUUAGUACUUCGAGCACAACUUCAACCCUUGAGAUGAGAUUGGAUGGCGAUGGCCCAAACUUCAUAGAUGUUCACAUGGACAAUACAGAACUUUUUUAUGUAGACCCGUCCUUCAUUUAAGGCCAUCUUAAUUAAGUUCUUGAUCGUGUCAAAAUCUGAUUUCAAUAGUAAUUUUUGUUACCUCUGAUGUUCCCUGUACUACCAUGGUUGAUUAUGAAUAGAUCAAAAGUUUAUCCCACAAAAAAACACAAUUUAUCUCUUGGAUUUUUUCUUAUUUGAUUUCGCAAUUCAGCGAAGUGACUUAAAUUCCCAUAUGGAUUUACCUAAAUCCAACCAAAGUUUGACGAACAUAUGAAUCUUUGAUUAUAUUAGUGCAAUCCCUUGUUAUAGUUUAUGAUUUUGUUCUUGCUGGCCAUAUCUAACACUGUCGACAAAGUUCUCCAUAGGCUUCUCAAACACUUGGUUGUUUCAUGUCCAAGAGUCUUGGGUUUUUGUUUGCCUACGAUUUUUUUACGCGGAGGCCUUGGCCUCAAUGAACUAAUUAAAUAAAACAGAGUUGUCAUGUUAAUUAGGGGAGAAUCGGGCAAAAACCGAAACUACACGCACAAAGGCCGGUCAUCGUGGAGCAUGACAAUAGCCAAUAGGGCACUCCGACCAAUAGUACUACUAACCCAAACUUACAAAUACACCGGUAAUAAGGGAGCAACCGUGAAGACUGCCCGUCAUCACCAACCGCCUCCAAUCCAGGUAGUCUGACUUUGCCGCGGACAAUCACCAACGACGCUAUCCUCGUGACAUCUGCGCGAGCACCGUAGCGCCAAAACAAUAGAUAACUCCAACUUUGACAAAGAGGUUUACGAGAGAAAUAUGCAAGGCUUGUGCCUCCCUAGGCCCCCAAUAGGGCACCUUCACAUUUCAUUGUCACCACCAAAACCGCUACGGCAGCUCCGACUUCACAAGGAACGACGCUCGAAAAGACCCAUCGGACAAAUCCAAAAGAUUGAAUGCUGAAGCAUGCAGCGAUUAUGCGAAACCUCAGUCUUGUUAUCGUCGCUAAACAAACACGCUAUACAGAUCCAGGGUAGUCUCCUUGGCAUCCAUGCCGAACAAUCCAGCACCCGCUCCAACAAUCGAACCGUGGACAUCCAUAUUGACCUCUAUAGUCACAAUAGUAUUUGAGUGAGCCUUUGGUUACCAUAUGCUAUUCCUUUUGCUUAGCGAUACUUUACAAAAGCCGAGGUCAGAUAUAUCGGCAUCCCUGUGAGUGAAACACAUUGUCACUAUGUCACUCUCCUCAUUAUCAGUUUUGUUCUCUUUUCUCUUUCUCGUGUUCAGGCACCCCCAUGAUCAAUUCAUGCUAUAUCUGGCCGGAUGUUGAUGGGUGUCGUCACACCGAGACGGACUGAAGAACAUCUUUCCAUCGUCGGAGGAGAAAAUUCUAGUUUCGAGCUAUCUAGUCCCUUGGCAUACAUUUCCUAUUUUUUUGAUAAAUGACAUUUCAUUGAAUUGAUAUAUCGAGGUGAUAUAAUCUCAUUAAAAGAAAGCCCGACCUCUGCAUAGCUUGAUGCACACAGCCAAAAAGUCCAACCGACCUAAAAAUAAAUAUUGUUUCACAACUAAAAUAAUAAAUCAGUCCAGCCUAUGGUGUGGCAGAUCCUAUCCGGAGAUCACACCGCCAUCCAUGGGGGGAGAAAACCUCCCUGGCCGUAUGCUCCAGCCGUGCAAACGCCAUCAUAAAAAGGUCCCUAUCCUCCGGCCUCUGCAGAAUAGACCAAGUACGGAGCCAUCCCGUACAUACAUGAAUAACCUGCAUAGGAGAUGAGACAUAUUUAUUAUUAUAAAUCACAUCAUUCCUGGUAAGCCAUAAUGUUCAGCAUAAGGCAGCCGCCCCCAUAAGAAUAUGUGCAGAAAAUUAUCUAUCAAUACCCCGCAACCAGUUGCCGAACAUGUUACGUGCACUACAUGGGGGGGGGUAUAAAUUUGAAGAUACUUGAACUAUGACCCAAAUUGCCCGAUCGAACUUACACUCAAAAAAUAAGUGUUUAAUAGACUCGUCAUGUUGGCAAAAGACACUUGCCAGUUGCGUCGUACCAGAUUAUCUCUAGUUAAGAUAAUUUGGAAACCAGAGGAAUAUCUUCACUCUUAGAGGCAUACAUUUCCUAUGAACAUGUAAAUUGCUGCUAUGAUGGCCCUGUUAUGGUUGACGUUGGACCAUCUGUCAUGAACGAUUCCGACAAUAAUAAGGGAUAGGGUAAAGGAGCAUGAUCUAUCGAGAUGCAUAUGGGUGACACGGUGCUUUUAGCGAGUUCGGGCCUCUUGCGGUGGAGAUAACGUCCCCUACGUCUCGUGCUCCGGAGAGGCUUUCUUUAUCUGUCAUGAACACGGAGUUACAUGGUGUAUUUGAGAGAGAGGAGGGGGGAGAACGGAUCUCCAUGCCUGAGCUAAAUGGAGAGAGAGAGAGAGGUGGAAGAAAAAGCCCGAGUCUAGUGGUGGGGGUGGCUUAUAUAGAGUGCGCCACCCCCUCACCCCUUAUGUUACAAGGUGGAGCAUGAAUGCAAUGUUAGCCUACUACUGGUAUGAUGCUUCGACUGCCUUGCCGAAUGUUGGUCUUCGCAUAACCGAGUGAAUCAUACUGCCGAGUGGUUGCCUGCCAUCCGAGUGGAUGGUACGUCGAUAUGUUCGAGUGGAUAGUAUGUAUGAAUGAUAUUUAUCUGGACCCAUCUCAUGUGUGGACCCCAUGCUUUGUGAUAUUUUGACCCUUUAUGGGCCUACCUGUUAUGUGUGUCCCCAACACUAUCCCCAAAGUGUAUCGUCGUAUGAAAUGACUCGACGCUCUGAUGGUCUAAGAAAUUGUGCAUAUGUUAACUUUUAGUGUUCCUAUCUAUUUUACCCAGCCGGUUGUGGCAUCUUGAUUUGGCUAGUUGUUGUUUCUAGCCUUUUUUGGCUCUGUGUGAGCUUUUUCUACUUUUCUAUGACCAUUGGAACCAUGUUGGCACUACUUCAUUUUUUAAUAAGAGGGCCGUAUGCAUCGUGCUGAUGCAGAGGCCGGGGUUUUUUUCCCCCUUUUCGAAAAAAAAGUAUAACAUACAAGUUGGGUCAAUUCAACAUGAUGUUCUUCCAACAUUCUUCCCUCGAUCUUGUUGGCAUCAUCAUUACACUUAACUAUAACCAUGAUUAGAAAAAUAGAACCAUCAUGCAACACUUGAGCUAGUGCUAACGGUAAGACUAGAAAUCUUAUUUUUACCGUUUAUAAUCUUACACGUGCAUGCGAAUUUUUUCUCUGAACCUCUUAGUUUUCGCAAAUUUGAAAACCAUAGCAAUUCUACCAUAGAAUACAAACAUCAAUUAUAAAUUUAGAAAUAAAAAAUAACACAAUUAUUAUUGCCUCUAGGGCAUAUUUCCAACACUUGCCUCCAAGAAAGCCAACAACCGCCCUGAUCCCCGCAUCACUGAUAAAAACCUUUUGACGGGUGGUAAGACCAUCGGCGAUGGUGGUUUCUCCGUGAAUAAUCAAUCUGAGUAAGGGAUGUCGCUUUAGAGUUUCAGUGGGAUAAUUCGAGUGGACAAUGCAUGUACACAUUUAUCACACGCACAAAAUUUGGAGCCAUGAUGUAGGUACUGCCCUAUAUGGGCGGUUAGUGCAACUAUGCACAUUAGGAUUCAGCAAGUUCAGUCUGCUGGAUAUGUAGAAAGAUAGUCGAUUUGAACGAAAUUGGGUGUAAAGAAAAUACAACUGAACAUAGUGUCAAGGAUGGUCAAAAGAACAGCUGGUAUACUCAAAUAAUAACUCAUAAUAAUAAAUAGUUUUAAAAACUCAGAAUAAAACACGCGAGAAUAGUUUACGUAGAGACAUGUAGCCCACUGAAAGAGUGGCGUUUUCUUUCCCACCAGACACCAACCAUGCCAUAUGCCAACCACACCUGUCACCAUCAUUUUCGUUUGGCAUUACCGUAUUUUACUCCCUGGAACACAUUCUUUGCACACCAGAAUCAAUAAACGUUGACGACGAGGGCCACGAGGAGUGCCAUCCAUCAUCCGUGCCAACCCUGCCUGCAUAAAUAAGUCUGAACUGCUGUCCCUCGUGGAAACUCGGCGACCGGCGACCUCACCAGACCCCAUCCGGCACCAACCCCGCGCUCCGGGACACCUAUUUAUAGCUCUCGCCGUGCACGCUCUCGGCAACCAAGCAGCCGCUGCAACAUACUACAAUUACUUUGCACUAGCAACACAACGCUCUGACUGAGCUCAUAGCGUUUGCACCUGCCCAUCUUAACUAGUUGAUCACCGCAGCAAUGGCCUCCACAAACAGCUGGGCCCACGAGAUCGAGUCGUCGGUCGCGGCACCGCGCCUGUUCCGUGCCGGCGUCAUGGACUGGCACAUUCUGGCACCCAAGCUCGCGCCCCACAUCGUCGCCAGCGCCCACCCCGUUGAGGGCGAAGGCGACAUCGGCAGCGUCAGGCAGUUCAACUUCACCUCAGGUACAUACAUAUGCAUCACAUACAAUCCACGCAUGUCACCUCAGUCAGGCGGUGGCAUAACACGCGAUUCUUUGCUCUUGCAGCCAUGCCCUUUACCCUCAUGAAGGAGAGGCUCGAGUUCCUGGACGAGGAGAAGUGCGAGUGCAAGUCGACCCUCAUCGAGGGCGGUGGCAUCGGCACGGCCAUCGAGACUGCAAUGUCGCACAUCAAGGUGGAGCCGGCAGCCAAUGGAGGGAGCUUGGUGAAGGUGGACUCGACGUACAAGCUGCUACCAGGCGUGGAGGUGAAUGACGAAAUCACCAAGGCCAAGGAAUCCGUCACCGCCAUCUUUAAGGCCGCUGAGGCCUACCUCAUCGCCAACCCCGAUGCCUACAACUGAAUCAGAUGAGAGGGAUCAUAUAUGAUUAUGAUGUCCCAAGUUUGAUUUUUAUGUGCUUUCUUCCGGAUCUAAUAAAGCUGCUACAAUCUCUAAGCUAUAGUAGUGACGCCGAGCGCGAGAGCACCGGGCAGAGUGUGGACGUGAGAAGUUUAGAAGUUAGUAUUUGUGACACGAAAGGGGCCUGUUGUUUGAUGAUGUUGGUGCUUGCUUAUGUGAAAUACCUAAACACUCUUAUUUUCUUAUAUAUUUGGAAUUGGAAAAUUAUGUGUCGACCUG